AUGGGAUUUCUUGACAAACUCUGGGACGAAACGUUGGCGGGUCCCUUACCUGAAUCGGGUUUGGGUAAACUUCGAAAGUAUAACUCUUUCUCUGCAAGCUCCGGUUUCCGAUCGCCGCCGGUGAAGGAAGACGUUCCUAUCAGUCGUAGCAUUAUGAUUAUUAGAACUCAUUCUAAUUUCGGUAGAGGCACCGUUUCGGAACCUGUUUCUCCUUGUUCUUCUGCACCUACAUCCCCUCGCACCCCUUUAUCACCACUGGAGACACCAAGAGGCAAUUUUAAGAAAUUUACGAGAAGGAAAUUGCAGAUUGAUCCAACUGAAAGCUCCGAUAAUCGAAGGUGA
Non-coding RNA from Vicia faba (fava bean), 342 nucleotides. NCBI's taxonomy places the organism in Eukaryota, Viridiplantae, Streptophyta, Magnoliopsida, Fabales, Fabaceae. The record is from the annotation of a GenBank genome assembly.